GUCCGGAUGGUGCAUUGGUCAGCGCAUCUGCCUUGUAAGCAGGAGACUCAGGUUCGAAUCCUGGUCCGGGACA
Molecule: non-coding RNA, 73 nt
Organism: Schistocerca serialis cubense
Lineage: Eukaryota; Metazoa; Arthropoda; Insecta; Orthoptera; Acrididae
Source: the annotation of a RefSeq genome assembly